RNAcentral lists this ribosomal RNA (453 nucleotides) under uncultured bacterium. RNAcentral's name for it is "bacterial SSU rRNA". It matches the Rfam family "Bacterial small subunit ribosomal RNA", at positions 28 to 507 of the family's 1533-position model. The record is from RNAcentral.
GAUGAACGCUGGCGACGUGGAUAAGGCAUGCAAGUCAAACGGGAACUUUUGAGAUUACAUCAAGAUUGUUCUAGUGGCGAACGAGGUAGUAAUACAUAGGUACGCACCCAAAAGCCGGGAAUAACUGAUCGAAAGAUCAGCUAAUACCCGAUAGUCCCUUCGGGGUAAAGAUUUAUCACUUUUGGAGCGGCCUGUGGGAUAUCAGCUAGUUGGUAGGGUAAUGGCCUACCAAGGCAAUGACGUCUAGGGGAGCUGAGAGGCUGACCCCCACCGAUGGAACUGAGACACGGUCCAUACACCUACGGGUGGCUGCAGUCGAGAAUCUUCCGCAAUGGGCGAAAGCCUGACGGAGCGACGUCGCGUGGUUGAUGAAGUCUUUCGGGAUGUAAAGACCUUUUAUGAGGGAGAAAGUUAUUGAUAGUACCUCAUGAAUAAGGGGUUGCUAAACUCGUG